Molecule: long non-coding RNA, 5406 nt
Filed under: Brassica napus (rape)
Lineage: Eukaryota; Viridiplantae; Streptophyta; Magnoliopsida; Brassicales; Brassicaceae
Description: long non-coding RNA (BNAP_LNC018236)
Source: RNAcentral
CCCCACCUCUUUUCUAAUUCUUAAUCCUCGGUCUUUUGAGGCCACGUACGGAAUGCGAGAUUCAACACUUCGUCUACUGUCAAACCCACAAUCAUCGUCACUCUUUGCUCUGAUAGCCAUGUUAGUGACGCCUUUCUUUGCUCAAUGCCCUUAAAUUUCAUCUAGAAAUUCUUAAGCGGCCACUACAACUGUUAUGGUCAUUCCUAUAUCUCCGAACAACCCUUUUUCAUUCUCGGACAUGUCGAAUCUCCAUGCUGCCUCCGUUGAAAUCGCUUAAUUUGGCUUCUAUCUCCGCUGGGAUGACUCUCUUCUAUUCCCCCCUCCGGAGUGUAUCCGACAGUUGGUGAGGGGGUGGGUACAACAAUAUCUUAAGAAAAUUUUGAUUAUUAGUCGAUAGUUUGAUCCAUUUGAUGAUCGUGGCCGUAGGCGUUUGUAUUUAAACUAGAAGUCCAUAGGCUAAUAUUUUUUCAGGGCAAUCUCCGGCAUAGGAGGAGCAGCGGUUGCAUCUGGGGAAGAUGAUGGGGAAGAAGGCUAAGACGGUGAAAUUAUGACAGUUUCACAGUAGUAGAUGAUGAAUUGUCAUAGCCAAAAAUAUGUUUGUAUUGCAAAUUUACAAUGAUAUAAACAUAAAUACGUUUGACUUUCCCCUAAAGAACCUAACGCAUAUUUGAUCCAAAAAAAGAACCUAACACAUAAUAAAUCAGUCUGAUCCAAAAAAAUUCAAAUUGUUGUGAAACUAGAGAAUAUAAUAUAUUAGGGUGGGUCCGCGCUACGCGCGGGAUAUGCUCUACAUGUGUCUACUUAUGUUUUAUAAAUUAUAAUCGUAUGUGUGUUGUAUAAGAAAGUAGUAGAGAACUACAUUAUAGUGUCUGUGUUUUUUUAGGAUAUUUUUGUUUUUUUUUGUUUUUUUUUAUAUUUAGAUAGUUUUGGUGUAAGUUUUAUGGUUUUUAUAAGGAUGAAAUCAUAAUUCGUAUGAUUAAAAUAUAAUUCAAUUAUCGAGUCUAUGAAUAACGGGGUUAACUUGUAGUAAUGUUUGUAGUUGAAACAUGUGAUACUUCUUUAGUCAAAAAAAAAAAACUUAACUCCAUAGAUAAUUCGUUAGGUUAUGUCUCCGAUAAUCAUUUUUACAAAACCAUCACCAUAGACCAAUCACCCUAGCAUGAAUCUUGGUCCUUGCUUAGAGAAGAAUACGUACUAAUAAUAAUAUUUUUAUUUUACUUUUGCACAGAAAUUUAUUUAAGGGUUUUUUAUAACUGUUAUGUAUUUCCAUAUAAAAAGAACGUUAUUAGGAUGGACAUUUCGGUUUAAUUAUGAAUUUGGUUUGGGUUUGGUUCGGUCUGGUUUAUUUAAGUCUAAGAAAAAUUUAACCAAAGUUAAUCUAUAUUAGUUUGAUUUGGUUUAUGUUCGGUUUGGUUCUAUUUGGUUUGUGUUCGGUUUGGUUUUAUUGCAGUUUGGUUUGUGUUCGGUUCAGUUUAAUUUGGUUUUAUUUAUGUUUAUCAGUUUGUUCGAUGUUUUAGUUUUCUUUAAGUUAAACUACAAAAUAUAUGUAUACAACACAAACAAAUCAUCAUUUUACAUUAAAUCGUUAUUUUCUUUACAUUUAUACAUAAAACCAAACAUCACAAUAAAAAUGUAGAGGACGUAAUCCAAUAUCAUAAAUAAUUAUUCAGUUCUGAUAUUAAUGUUUGAGAUUCAUACUUUUUAUUAUUUUUAGUUGUUUUUAUUCUAUUUAUUUAGAAGUAAAAUGUAUAAAUUAUAUAUAGUUGUAUAGGUUAAAUAGUUAAAUAUAUUAAAUCUUAAUAUUAUUAGUAUAAUUAAUCUAAUUGAAAAAUAUUUCAUUUUCAGUUCGAUUUGGUUUAAAACCAAACCAAACCAAACCAAACUAUUUGGGUUGGCAAAAUUUUGAAUCAAAUGGUUUAGGCAUAUACUUUGGUUCGGUUUGGGAUCGGUUCGCUUUGGUUAGGUUUUUUUUUUUUCACCUCCACACCUGCACGCAAACAUGAAUAUUUUUUAAAAAAUAAAAUAGAAUAUUUCUGUAUUUUUUAUUUAACUUUAUUGUUAUUUAUUAAAUUUGUUGGGUAUUUUAACUAUUUGAUUUUGUAAAAUAUUCAAUUUAGUCAUGUUUUUAUUUUUCAGCUUCUAAUUUGGUUUAAAUUUGUUAUAGUUAGUUAAAUAUGGUUAUAUAUAUAUGGUUAUUAAUAUUGUAAUUUCAUAUUUUGAUUAUUUUAGUUAAUGUUUUGGGGAUUCUACGAAUUAUAAAAACUUAGUAAUCACUUUAAAGUUCAUAAACUAAUGAAAUACAUAAAUUGAGAAAAACAAAAAUCAAAUUUAGGCAUACUUUGGACCAAAGUUGCAUAAUUUAUAAUAUGAUAUUAGUAUUUAAUUUUAUAAACUAAAGUAAAGAAUAAUCAUUCUAAUCAAAGAUAAUUUACUCUUUUCAUCUUUUCUUUUAGUAGAUAUGUGGCUUAACUAAUUAAAUAUUAAAUAAUAAAACUACGAAUAUUUAAAAUAGUAAACAAAUGUUUAGUGGGUGGAGAAUUUUAUAGGGGAUGUUAUGCCCCGAGCCAUAUGUCGUCUUUUCCUUUUGUUUAUUGAAACGGAGCUGCAUCUGACUUAGCUAAGAUCUGUUUUGAUAAAAUUGUUUUUUUAAUGGUAUUUAUUUUGUAUAAGUACGAUGUCAAUAUUGGACAAUUACUUUCUGAAAAUAGAAUGUGUGCCGGUUUAGUAGAAGUAAACAACUCGCAGUGUCUCUUAAAUUAACAUAAACUUUUGUUCUGAAGUUGCCACGGCUUCCACUGUUUAAACAGGAGAACAUCUGUCUUCACCUGCUGUUACUGAGGCUUAUGGCGGUUCAUCGGAUGCUUGAACUAAUCCAUUGUGUGUGUUUUUGAAAAAUAUUUUUGUUAGGUAAACCUUUAUAUUUUUGUUAAAUUACAUAUUUGUGUUAUAUUAUGUAUUUUGUUAUAUUGUGUAUUUCACUAAAUUGUAGUUCUAUUUAUUUUAUAUUUACUAUUUUGGAUAAUUGUUUACAAAAUUAUUUUUGAUGGUGUGUUAUUUUUUCUUUUUGGUUUUCUAUUAAAUAUUUAAUUUAUCUCAAUUUGAAUUUGGUCAGGAAAAGGAUAACCUUUGAUUAUUUCAUUCAUUUUUUCCUUGGCUUGAGUUUGAUGAAGUACAAAAUAUUUAUUGCAAUAAUAAUUGUUUUAUACUAUAAACAAAAAAUAUUUCACAACAAUUGUUUUAUCCUUUGUGGAAUAGAAAAGUCACAACGAAUCACUAUCAUUUUACCAAUAAAGUUAACAGACUAUUAAAUGUCUUGAAGUUAAUAUUGAGAAUUUUGUAUACGUUUAACAAAGACAAAUAGCUCAUGCAUUUGUUUGUUUUACGUUAUCUUCUGAUUAUUUUCUUUUAUAAGUGAAAAGAAUAAAAACAGUUAGUACAUUAUUUAAAAUCUCACUUUGGUGUUUAGAAAGGUUUUGAGAGAGAAGUACAAAGUUCUUUAUAAAUUUGCUUAGAUGAUUAGGAAUGAGAGCACAAUAUCAAAUGUCUCCGUGAAUUUGAUUCCCUUCGUCUUCACUUCCAAUUUAAAACACACAUACUUGUAGACCAUAGUGAUCAACUUAAUGGCUAAGUGCAGCAGAGAGACAGGGAGACAUCUUCUGUAGUUUAACACAAACAAUUGAUUCUACGGAGAAGGUCAGGUAACAUAUAAUUUGAAGCUCAAGAGACAUCAAACAAAUUUUGAUGGUAUUCUUCAGAUCAUAGGAGUCCUUAAAUUUUUGUAAGUUCUUAGAAACCUGCACAAUGAAAACAUAUUCUAAGCCAAUCAACAAAGAUUAGAAAACAGAACAAAAUUUAUUGUUUUAUCAUGGAUUAAAUCUACUAUACAUUGAUUAGCAUCUCUGUGAUGAUAAUGCGGCUGAUUUCUUCAAGGCCUUUGAGAGUGGUUACUUCACCUCCAACAACCAUGUUUAUAACAAUUUCACCUUAAAGAGAAAGUUUGAAAUGUUAAUAUAGGCUUUAACGAUGAUGAACAAAGCAGUGUGCUUUCGAGAAAGAACUUGAAGAUAAGCAACUUGUUAUACUCACCGAAAAUAAAACCCAGCUCUGAACUUUUUUUAAGCACCCUACCAGACAACUUUUCCUAUACCGCAUUCAUAUUGAGUUCUCGUCAUAACCAUCAAACCAUUAAUGUAUUGCAGAGAACUAAUCUCAUAAAAGACCACAAAAAAAUAUCCUUUGAGAAGAAAUUGAUGUCUGUAGAAUACAUUUCUUGCUUUGCAGUGUAUGAGAAUCGGAUGUAUUUUUAGAUCCACAGCGAAAAGGAAACAUUUACUUUUAUGAAACAGCAUAUAAGAAGAGCCUAUAGAAAUCAAAAAGAUUGUGUUAGGUGAUGGAUUCCUUACCAACUAAGAUUUUGAGAACAUCCAAAACUGUAUCUUUUGGCAUAAGAGUUGGAAGAUUCUACAAAAUCAUAAACGAUUAAGUUAUAAGAAAUCAACAGUAACUCAAAGAGCAUAAGAAUGCAAAUUAGAAACAAACAAAUUAACUGAAGGAGAAUAGCAAGAAACCAAUAAAAAUCUAAACUUUCUUAGAUUGAAAACCUUAUAAGAUCUCAAAGAGAGAAUUUUUUUAGGAUGAUGUUUACGGUAUGAAGGAUUACCUUUUUAUAGUUGCAGAUGCAUCUCUUGGAAGAGAGUGCAGAUGCAUUGAAUGAGGAAGAGUGGAUCGAAGAGUUAAGACGUUCGUUAAUGGUAAUGAUUCAAUGCAUUCCGUAACGGUUCGGAAGAGAAGAAUCCCAGUAUACACAAAACGAACUGAGCUCGAUGAGAUAUUCUCCAUGAAGAUCUACCGCAAAAAAAACCCAUCAGAAGUCACCAUUGUUGUUGAAGCUUUCCAGAUAUCAGAGAAGAGGUGAACCCUAACUGGUAGCUGUCGUGAAAAGAUUAGCUCACAAACGGGCUGAGAUUCUGUACAUUAAAACCUAAAUAACCUAAGACAAAACUCCAACAGCAAGGCCCAUCUCGUAUCUAAACAAAAACUCAACAAAGAUUUUAUGACAGGGACACGUGUCGUCACCACGGAGCACGAAUUUAUGACGUGGAAUCAUAGGUGGCAUGCCCCAGGAGAGAGCAAAUCAUACUUUAUAUAUAUAGAUAGAUAGAUGUUUUUGUAUUAUUUAUAAACAUAAGGAGCUCUUUAUAUAUAUGGAAUUGCACCGUCAUAGAAUAAUGGAAAGACUAAAGAAAGGAAAUACAAAUAGUAGAUGAUGAAUUGUCAUAGCCAAAAAUAUGUUUGUAUUGCAAAUUUACAAUGAUAUAAACAUAAAUACAUUUGACUUUCCCCUAAAGAACCUAACGCAUAUUUGAUCCAAAAAAAGAACCUAACACAUAAUAAAUUAGUCUGAUC